GUAUUUGUUUUAUAGGCAUGAAAGCCCGUUGACUACAUUCUUCAUUAUACAAUUGGGGUGUGUAAAGGUACAUAGACCUGGAAAUUCAAAAAGAGCUAGAUCUUUCGACACAGCAAUCCUUGCAUCCGCUCAAGAGCGAGAGUUAUCCAGGCCUACAUUAAGUGCACAGGUGGAAAGAUAAAAAUGACAGGUGUGCACAUGCUCCGAGAAGCCAGCUACAUCCCAUGCCAUAGUUAUUCAUUAAUGAUCCUUCCGCAGGUUCACCUACGGAGA
RNAcentral lists this unclassified non-coding RNA (273 nucleotides) under uncultured fungus. Its description in RNAcentral is "sequence contains ITS1". The record is from RNAcentral. Lineage: Eukaryota; Fungi.